UAAUCAAUUUCAAGGUUUCUUUUCUCGUGAGAAUCAACAAACAUAGCUUUACGUACGGUAACCAAAAAUAAUAUUUCACACACAAUAGCUUUGCAUAAAAAUAACUUCAACGCAAAAUUCAUAACACGAAGACAACAACAUGACCAUUUGCGAGGAAUAAUUUUCAGGCCAACACCUUAGUGCAAACACCAAUAUUAACAAAAUACAUCAACUACACUAAUCACUUAUUCAGCUACCCACAAAUCAUGCUAGCCCCUUCCCUUUCAUAUCCACUUCUGCACUUUCGUUGCCAUUCCUUAUUGUCACAUUUAAAGAAAUCUCAAUGUUUCGUUCCUUAGACACCACGUGACAAAGAGACUGGAACAUGCGAGAGAACUGCUGAACAUCUUCAAGUGCUGCAUGAUUAUUCGAGUUCGCGGUAACAUUACUUGACCCACUGCUUGAUUCUCCCUCAUCGACCCAUGCCCAAUAUUUACAAUUAGCACUGCAGCACUCGAACAAUCUUCCCUUGUUCUUUGUCUCCCUCUCGACCUCAAAGCACUUCACAAUUCCACAUUUACACAAGGGGCAUCGCCUUUUGUUUGGGCAAUCCGCAAACAAGUGACCUUUCCCUCUACAGCUAUGACAAAGUCUGGAGUUCUAUCCCGGCAUACUACACACA
Molecule: long non-coding RNA, 661 nt
Filed under: Olea europaea subsp. europaea
Lineage: Eukaryota; Viridiplantae; Streptophyta; Magnoliopsida; Lamiales; Oleaceae
Source: RNAcentral